GUCCUGUAGAGGCAUGGCCUGUGCCAUAUGGCAGACUGUGAUUUGUUGUCGAUUUAGUUAUCUAAAAACAACAAAAUCACUAGUCUUCCACACAGAACUAGACCAACAUCCACUGAAUCUUCUAUAUUUUCUACAGGCUCUGUAUAAUUUAUAACAAGUAGUUUUGGCAGCAGUUUUCACCAGAGAAAUGAGAGGUUUGCUUGGUUAAGGCUUCUUCCAGAAAGAUUAGUAUUAAAUGUCUUCGUUUUUUAGUAAGAAAGCAGAAGAAAAUUAAAGCAAAGCUAUUAGAGGGUUUAGAAGUUAGGUCUCCAAAAGGUUGAGACACCAUGGCUUCUAAAAGAAAAAUCAGUUGAGAAGAAAAGCUUUUUCAAGUUUUAGUAGGAGUAGGCUAACAUAAAGCUAAACAAACUGACCUGUUCUGCAGCAAAUACUGUGCAUUCUGUAUCUGGUCCUGUGUUCCUGUAAUGGUAAUGAUCCGAUCUUCGGACCCUUCUAAAGGCUCAUCAAUUUUGAUCGAAGCUCCUGAUUCAUGACGGAUUUGUUUAAUCCGCUGACCACCUUUGCCAAUAAUAGAUCCAGCCAACUGAAAAGAUUUUUUUUUAAAAACAAGUGUUUAUGAUGUACUUUCAAAGAAACCAUAUCAUCUUGUACUUUCAAUGACCAUCAGGACUGUUAACUUUGUACAACUUAUUGAUUAUGCUGUGUUAAUUCGAUGCCCCUCAAUUAUUGGAUUAUAAUGUAUUUAUACUACCCAUCAACAUUUCCUUUAAUAAAGGAACCAAGGGCUCAAAACUCUUUGUAAUUGCUUUUAGUAGUAUUGCACACCAUUUGACAAAGCUUAAACUGGAGAAUGACACCUCACUCAAGUCCUUAAAACACUGUUUUAAUCCUACAAUGGAAUAUUUUUGUUAAAACCUUUCACUUAAAGUCAGGAAACGUAAAAUGCAUUAAACAUCCCUUUAGUAUUAAAGAUACUUACAUCUUUGGGAAUAGUUACUUGUGUAGUAAUAAUAGAUGGAGGCAUGGGACGCCCUCCUCGACCAGGAGGCAUUCUGUCAAAACCACCUCUUCCCCGCAUGGGAAAUCCCACAGGACGUCCACGGCGAUCAUCAAACAUCAUUGUAAAGCCACCAUAAUCAUACGUUUAAUCAUAAAAAUUGGGAUCAUAAGGCUGAGCACGUCCUUUAAUGGGCGACUGAAACAAAAAAUAUAGCCAACAAAGAACCUUAGUUGGUAUCAACCAUUUUCUUAAAUACAUUUCAAGUUCUCUACAUUUCUCCUGGGAAGUACCCAAGAUAGGGACAAGAA
This 1308-nucleotide long non-coding RNA is filed under the name Sus scrofa (pig). RNAcentral's name for it is "lncRNA (ENSSSCG00050040126.1)". The record is from RNAcentral. Lineage: Eukaryota; Metazoa; Chordata; Mammalia; Artiodactyla; Suidae.